This 175-nucleotide ribosomal RNA is filed under the name uncultured bacterium. RNAcentral's name for it is "partial 16S ribosomal RNA". It matches the Rfam family "Bacterial small subunit ribosomal RNA", at positions 338 to 505 of the family's 1533-position model. The record is from RNAcentral.
CCUACGGGAGGCAGCAGUGGGGAAUAUUGGACAAUGGGGGAAACCCUGAUCCAGCAAUGCCGCGUGAGUGAAGAAGGCCUUCGGGUUGUAAAGCUCUUUUGCCAGGGAAGAAAAGCCCCUGUUAAUACCGGCCGGGUCUUGACGGUACCUGAAGAAGAAGCACCGGCUAACUACG